RNAcentral lists this long non-coding RNA (345 nucleotides) under Vigna radiata. Its description in RNAcentral is "long non-coding RNA (VRAD_LNC013532)". The record is from RNAcentral. Lineage: Eukaryota; Viridiplantae; Streptophyta; Magnoliopsida; Fabales; Fabaceae.
CACCACCAACCAGCGUAAAUUAGAAUGUUUCUUCAAGACACAAGAUUCAUGACAUUACUGUUGGCCGCAUCACCAUCGUCACUAUCUUUAUUCACACCAAUACUGCGAAAAAAAAAGAAAAAAAAAACACAUAUCGUGUCACCAUUGUCACCAUCUUCGUUUAUGUAAAACUUGUAGAAAAACCAUACCCUAAUCACCACCAUUGUCACCAUCUUCAUUCAUGCGAAACCUACUGAUAAACCAAACCUAUUGCGAUUGGGGAAGAUGGAUUCAUAAAAUUUUCAUUCUGACUUUAAAAACAUGGUGGUGUAGUGCCAAACAACUUGAUUUCAUGUUUCAAUUUCG